AGGUAAUUAAUUUCGUAGAAGCAUUAUAUUAGGUACAUAGUAGCUAAUAAAUAGAAAAUUAGCCGAUUUUGCUUUCUAGUGUAAUAUUUAUUUGUAAAAGUAACAAAACAACUAUAUUUUAUCGUUGAAGGAAAAGUUACGUCAAGGUCAAUUGAGUAGGUUGAAUAUAGUAGGUUGAAAUGUGAGAGUAUUAAAAAGAGAGUCCCACUCAAGUGUGUGUAGUUGUUUAGUCAUAAUACCUAAGUAUUAUUGUUGUAUUUUAUAUAUUAUUAGUAAAUAUCAAACGGUCUUAAUAAUAAUCGAAGUAGGUAAUUUUGAACAGAAUAAAGUAUACCUAAAAUUCGAAAAUACAAAAUCUUGGGUCGAAGCGUGUAGAACGAUUUUAGUCGUGAACAAUAUAAAUACAUCUACUAUGAAAUAUGUAGUACAUUUAGGUAAAUACUCUGCAUACGAGUAACCGUAUAAAUUCACGAUAAGAUUAUGAGAACGGAAUAAUUUACCAUGCAAAUGAAAGAACAAUGGAUGUUACUAACAGCUGUACAAGUCUGUUUUGAAACGACACGUAGGCACACGCAAAAUUUCAUGACUAGAAUCUAAGUAUAUUUAAUACGGCAGUGUGUAUAUAAAUACGUAAUAUUAUUUAACAGUAGGUUGGAUUAAAGUUAUAAUGCGUAUAUUAUAUAAAAUACAGAAAUAGCGGAUUUCUUUUCAUCAAAAAUGUGUUAAAAGUUUUGACGUAUAAGUAUAUGAACAGCUGUUCAAUAAGAUAUAGAAAAUAAAUAUGAAUGGUUUGGGCGUGUUAGAUAAAGUGGUAGAGACAGUAGGACGUCGAGUACUUACUUGAUAUAUCUUCAAUACGUAAUAUUAUAAAUCAGUAGGUUGAUUCAAGUUAUAACGUAUAUUACGUAGAAAUACGAAGCCGAAUGAAACGAAACAUAAAAAAUUAAAAUGGCGGAUUUUUAUUUAUCUUAUCAAUGACGUGUAAAAAGUUUUGAGGUAUUUAUAUGAACAGCUGUUCAAUAAGAUAGAAAAAUAAAAAUUCCAAAUUACAGAUAGUUGGGCGUGUCAGAUAAAAUGGUAGAGACGGGUAGUCGAGUACUUGAUAAAUCUGUUAUUUUAGGUAUUGUUAUCUUGAAUAUGCAAUAAUGCAGUAUGUUUUUUUAACAGUGAUUUAUGAGAAUUUUGACAGGGAAACAGUUUAUUGAUUAUCUAAGAAAUACAAUAUAAAUGUACCAAAUUAGGAUGGAUUGGGCGUCAUAUAAAAUAGAGACAGUAGGUAAAGUGUUUGACUAUAUAGUAAUUAAUCUUGCAUUAUAAGUAUUGGUGUCUACGAUAUUCGAAAGAACAAUACAAUUUUAUUUUUAACAUUGACAUAUAUAUAUAUAUAUUUUUUAUAUUUAAGCAACACUUUAUUUUUUAUCGAAAAUAUAAAACAAAAUUGUUAUAAAAUAUGGAAAGAGGUAGGGCGUGGCGGAUGCAAUGAUAGGGACAGUAGACAAAGUCGUCGACUAUUUGAUUCUUUUUUAAAUAAUUCUAUCUGCAACAUUCAAUAGUUUAGAUUUUUUUAAUUCAACAAUUACGUAUGAUGUUUUUACAUUUAAACAUAAUAAUAGGUAAAUUAAUAAAAAAUGAAACAAAAAUAUUUCAAAUUACGGAUAGUUUGGGCGUGUCAGACGAAAUGGUAGAGACAGUAGGCAAAGUUGUUGACUACGACGUGAAGUGUGAACCAUUUAUUUUUACUGUUUAAUAUUAAAUAAUACGUAGGGAUUUUUAAUUUUAACAAUGACAUUAAAUUCUUGAUUUUGAAAAUAGCAAUAAGUCAUUUAAUAUCAAACAAAAGAAACAAAAAUAUUCCAAAUUAUGCAUAGUUUAGGUUGUCAGAUAAAAUGGUAGAGACAAUAAGUAAAGUCGUUGACUACUUGUUAUAUUCUUUUUUGUAGGAGGUCGUAGAAACAAAAUUGUGAACAUAUUUAAUAAUACAGCAGACAGAUAAUUAGGUAUUAAAGGAAUAAAUUGGGAAACGUAUAAGAAAUAUAUUUUGGAUCACUGACAAGGAAUUUUGAAUAAAUUUAUCUAAAAAAAUCUGUAGAAAUUAAAAGUUUAAAUUAAAUUUCUAAUAUUUUAUGACAAAUUAUUUCUUAAAUUUUUAUUGUGAUUGUAUGUAUUUAGUACUCGGUAGGUUAUUUUAUUUAUCACAAAGUUAAAAACGUUCGUAUUAAGUUUAUUAAGCAUCAAAAGAAUACAACUAUCAGGUAAUAUUAUUAAAAUAGGUUCAAUUAGCUUUUAUAUUUAUUUUAUACAAUAUGUACCGACAAAAAUGUUUGGGAGAAUGAGUAAUCGUAGGAAAAUAUAAGGUUUUUAUUAUUUAUACUAAUGUACGGAAAACUGAAUAUUUAUUAAAAUUAAUAUUUUAUGCAUAAGACGAAUACAACCAUCAGAUAAUCUAUUGAAAUAUAAUUAGGUUGAAAUAGGUUUUAUAUUUAUUUUAAUUUAUUAUCUACCGACAAACAUUUUUGAGAGAAUGACUUAUCAUAGGAAAACAUAAGUUUUUUUUUAUUAUUACUAAUGUACUUAAAAUGUACUCUGACAACUAUUCAACAUUUAUUUAAAUACUUUAUAUUAUGCAUAAAACGAACACAACUAUCAGAUAAUAUAAUUCCAUUGAAAUUUAAUUACAAAGUUUAAAGUUAUAGUUAUUUUAGUUUAUUAUCUACCGACAAAAAUAUUUGGGAGAAUGACUUAUCGUAAGAAAAUAUAAGGUUUUUAUUAUGACUAAUGUACUUAAAAUGUACUCUGACAACUUUUGAACACUUAUUUAAAUUCAAAAUAUUAUGCAUAAAACGAACACAACUAUCAGAUAAUAUUAUUCCAUUGAAAUAUAAUUGGUUGAAAUAAGUUUUAUAUUUAUUUUAAUUUAUUAUCUACCGAAAAAAAUGAUUAUGUGAAUGACUUAUUGUAGGAAAAUAUAAGGUUUUAUUAUUACGUAUGUACUUGAAAUGUACUCUGACAACUGUUAAACAUUUAUUUGAAUACAAUAUAUAUAUAUAUAUAUAUUUACGUUAUACAAACAGCCAACUUGUAAUACAUCGAUAUCAUGAUCGAGUUAUAUGUUCUAGAAGUAUACACAUAUACAAAAUUAAAUUUUAAAAUACUACAGUUACGGUUUACUUGUUCAGAACAACAGAAACAUAAAUUGGAGGUAGACAAACUAACGCCAUACAAAUUUGAGCCUUUAAUAAAAGACUUUAAUACAUCUAAAAAAUUUAUAGUGAUUAAGAUUUUUUAUGUAAAAAUGAUAUUUUUGUAUUUUAUAAGAAAACUCAAUACCUUAAGGAGAGUCUAAUGCUACGAGAAUAUAUAGGUAUAAGAAAAUUAUUCACAAUAUGUUUCAAAAAAAAUAUUUGAUUGGUUUUAUUAGUUGAGUUUAACAUUAGUAGGCAAAGACAAAAAUUACAUUCGGUGAUUUAUUCGUUAUAAAAAAUUUGGGGUUCACGUUGAUUAAACUACAUAACUUACAUGUUUUUUAAUUAAUUUAGGACACAGUCAUUUACUAAAUUAAAUUACGAGCUAUGUAUACAAAAAGGCCUAUAGGGCCAUUUAUAAUCAUUAAAAUUAGAUACCAGCUAACAAUAACGAGCAAAUGAUUGGACGUUAAAAAUUAUAGUAAUAUUUAUAUACGAAAAGAAUUAGGAAAUAAGAAAAUAAAUAUUACAAUUAAUGAAUAAUAAUACCAGCCAGUAUUUAUUUAUUUUUAAUUUCGCCGUAUUAUACGUUUUCUUUAUAUUAAACGCACAUCUAUAUACCAAAAAGUACGCAAUAUUUAACUGGGUUUAGUUACAUAAGUAUACACGUAUUUGUAAAUUAAAGUUUCGUAUAGGAUAGGAUAUUAAUAGCAGCCACGUAUUUUUUUAAUAUUAAAAAUAAAAAAGCUUGGAUAUAACCCUAUCGUAGACUAAUAAAUAAGAGACGGGAACCAUUAUUAAACCAAAGAAAAAAGAAACAAUAUCGAAGGAGAUUUCAAUUACAAGAAAAUGUUGGUCGUAUGAGGUGCAAUAAUAUUAUCAUUCGCAAAUAUAAGUUAUCUUAUAUUAUGUAACAUAAUCGAAACGCAAAAUAAGUACUUAAUAAAAUAGGCAAUUUAUUACUAUGAAGAGUAGACUCAAGAAAGAUUUGUAAUCAUUGUUUUUUUUAAUUGGCCGAAUAUACCUUUUUCAAUAAUUAAAAGGUUUUAAAAUUAAAUAAUGGAUAAUAAUAUGUAGGUAAGAUUAAAUAAUAUAUUUUUUAAAGAAAGAAAAUGCGUAAAUAUUGACCCCAAAGUUAUUACAGAUUCGUGAUAUCAACAGGAAAUGUGAUACACAAAUUAAAUUACUUAUAGGCGCAAACAUAUUACUUACAUACCUACAUAUAAUAUAUUUUUAUUUUUCUCUACAUUCUCAAAGUACAACAUAAAGCAAAGGACAGGAAAAGUUAUUAUUUAUUAGAAAAGUAAGGACGAAAAUUAUGAUUAAAUAAACAGUUAACACUUAGAAUUUUACGAGGACAUUUCAAGCAUCUUAUUAGUAAAUAAUUAUUGAAAAACAGGAGCGUGAGUUACUAAUAUGUAUUCGAUAGAUUCUUUACAAACGCAAAUAUAUAUUUUUAUUAUAUUUUUCAUGUAUAGACGAAAUAAGUAUAUGAUACAUUAAAAAGAUAGAAUUAGUUCGUAAAGAUGAGAAUAGAAUUAUUUAAAUAGCUAUUACUGAUAAAUGAAAGAUAUUUAUUUACUCUAACCUAACUGAAGUUUUGUCAUAUAAAAAAUAGGGAGUGAUUUAAGAGUAGGUAAAUUUAUCCAAAAAGAGAGCUAAGUACUUAUAAUGUAUAAUAUUUUUUAUGAAAGUUUUGAAACAGAAGAAAGAUUAUGCAACAACGAUGCAAAAAUAAAGAGGCAGGAAGAAGAUUGUUUAUAUUUAGGUAAAUUGCUUAAAAUACUUGAGUUACAAAUCAUAGACACAUUAUUUUGAUUUACCAAUUGUGAUGAUUUUUUAUCGUACCAAACAUUUAUAUUAAAAGAGGUAGGGUCAGGGAAAAACUAUAUUUUAUGGUCACAAUUAUAUUUUUUAUUUUAUACUAUAGUUAGGUACCAAUAAUUAUGUAACAAUGUUAGAGAAAAUGGAUUUAUUGGAAAAUAAGAGAGAAAGCUUUUUUGAAAAUUUAAAUUAAAUUGCUCCUUAAUCAAUAAACAGCGGGUAUUCAAAAUAAUUUAAACUAUCUAGUAAUAAAAUAGGCGACUAUAAAUAUUGUGUAGAUAAAUAUUGAAAUAAGAACUUAAAACCGUACACAUAUACAUUUUACCAAUAGCCAAACAAAUUUACAUACAUAACAAUAUGCAAAGGUGUACCAGGUUGACAGCUCUUUUUAUAAAAGAAGCUAUAACAAUAGAUAGGAAUAACGUAUUCCGAAAUCAUUAGAAUUUAUGGUGGAAUUAAAAUACACACUUUUAUUUGUAGAAAAAUUCCAAUUACCUGAUUUAUUCAUUGGAAAUACAUGAUAUUUAUUUUUAUCUCAAUAGGAAAAAGGAUAUGACGUAUAAUAUGAAAAUAUACAAAUAUGUUCCGCGGUUCUUAAAAUAGGAUUAACCACGGAUAGGAAGAUCGUAUUUAGGCAUAAAAGAUGCCUUUGUAAUAUUUGUAGGAGAUAUAUGCAAAUGCUAAAUUUAAAAAUUUACGAGGUACUAAAAAAAUUAUUAGCUAUAAGUAGUAUAAAAAAGAGUACAAAAAUAGAGCAUUCUAUACAUACAAAGCUACAAAUACCUACAUUAUAUAUUAAACGUAGACAUAAACCAAAAUACAUCCUGUAAAAUAUAGAAACGAAUAUUAAAAAAGGUUUCCAUAAAAGAAAAUGACGAUUUGAAUACAGUAAUUACGUGCAUUUCUAGUGAUAUUUAUACUAAGUAAGAAAAAAAUUCGAGAGGACGUUUAAGAAAGCUUACAGCACGAUAAUUUUAAUGUUACAAAGAUAUUUUGAUCCCUUUGUCUGUAAUAGCAAAGUGUAAUAUAUUUAUUAUUAUAAUAUAGGUACCUACUCUACGAUACCCAAUAUCACAUAGAGGUGAAGUUAUAUAUCGAAAUAUAUAUUAUUCUUAUUACGAAGUCGUAAUAUAAUAUACAAAAAAUCUGUAACAUGUGAUUAUAAUAUUUAAAUGAGAAAGUAUACAAAAGAGUUCUAUAAAAAUUACAAGAAUAUGAUAAUUUUCGUAUGAACAAAAUAUUUUAAAUAUAUAUAUAAUACAAUAUUCGAUAAGGUAGUUAUAUAAUAAAUUUAUUUUAAGUUAUAUAGUAUAUUUAAUAAUUGACUCCUGUUUAGUCUGACAAAUAUGGAUUCUAAACAAAUUUAGAAUGCAAGUUGAAAGGGUUAGGAUGAAUUGAAAAUUGAAAAGCUUAGAACAAAUCGAUAAGGUAAUGCAGAGGGACAGCGUGACAAAUAUAGUUACACAGUUAACUAAAAGUUCGAGACACAUUGAAUACGAAAAAUAUUAUAAAACAAAAAGGAGAGUAGAGCCUACACAGAUUUUUGAGAAAAUCGAUUUGACUAGGUACGGACACGUUUAUUUUUAUUUAUCUAUUAUAAUGAUGAUAAAGAUUGUUUUACAAUAAAAAUAUUAGAAACAAAAUAAAUAUUUUAUAUAUAUAAUUGUAUCAAAUAAGUUGGAAAUAGCUAAGCACAAGAAGCAAGAGUUAUUUAUAUUGAGUAUUACUCAAACGAAAUUCCAUCCGAAAGCGGUCAUCGAAUUCCAUUCAAAAAUAAAAAUGAAUAUGAAGAUUAUUAUGAGAUACUACUUAUUUAUCCAAAAUUGAACAUAUCACUGACUUACCAGAUGAAUUAUUAUACUAAUAAAUACAAUACGUUCAAUAUUGCUAUAGCGGAAUAUUAUACGUUUUAAAUUUAUGUCAGAAAUAUUAUAUCUUAUACCUAUUUGUAGAAAACAUUUUAUAAAUUGUAUGAACUUAAAGUAUUGAAACACAAUUUAUUAAUUGAUAUAAGUUCUAUGGAACGUAGUAUGCAAUCUAAACUAUUUAUAUUCAUUUAGAAGUAUCAUAGGUCGAGAUCCCUUUAGCAUUGUUGAUUAUAUGAAAAUAUUAAGGAUUAGUUCAUUUAGAAGGUAUGAAAGAGGCAGAAAUAUGCGUAAAUAUUCGGUUUUUAUUUAUUUUCGUUAUGUAGUACAGUCUAAAUUUUGAUCAUUUUUUUUUAUUAAUCGUUGAGUGAGAAGUGGUUAAGUGUUGAGAGUGGAUUUGUGGGUUUUGUGCAGUGUUUUAUACAAAAGAGGUUAAAUAUACUAAAGUUCGUUUACGAUUUAAAUUCAUACAAGUUUUCAUAAUAAAAAAUAGUUAUUGGGAGGUGUCGUGUAAAAUUUAUUAUUGAAUUAUUAUUUUAACUAUUAAUAGUAAUUUAAAGGUGCUAUAGUGGGUGAAAAAAAUUGAAGUUAUUUACUAACUAGUUAGCGCAAAAUAGCCUUGGAAAAGUAUAGAAUUAGUGAUUCAUAGCGUGACCUCUACGUAAAAUUUCACAAUACAAUGUAAAAGUUUGAAAUAAGUGAAGUGUAAAGUUCAGAGCCUUAUUAAUUUAUUAUUUUCAUGUGUGAAGUGAUAAUUAAAUGAAUGUGUGUAAAAGUUAAAGUGAGUUAGAAAUAUAAUAUCUGAUAUAUAAAGUUUGAUCCUAUGAGUAUCGUGUCAUUGUUAUUUAAAAAUAGAACAAUAAAAAUUAAAACAUAAAAAUAAUUUAUUUGACAGCUUAGCAAAUGAUUCCAUUUCAUUUUUAAAUUCAAAUUCCGAAUUCUUACAUAAAACAUUAUUUUAUAAGGACGACUACAACGAAAUAAUAUUAUGUUAUGUUUCAAAGUAAUAGGAGCCACGUAUUUUUAUAAGUAUAGAAUUGUAUAUUCAUGAAAAAAUAUAGUAGGCGAAAUAACUUGUUUAUGGAAGUGAUAGGACACUCAUAAAAGAUAUUACUGCGACUAGAAUAGACAAGCAUACAUCUUUAAUAUAGUAAAUGAUAUAAACACAUAAGACAUUAUAUAGGCUAUGAAUUACUGAUAAUUAUUUUUUCAAACGACAAACAAACAGACGGCUAUGCGGCAAGUUUUCGAAAAGUAUAUAUAAAACUGAUAUAUUAUAUGUAGUAUACCUGAUUAUAGUUUUUGAUAUAAAUAGUGAAAUAUUGUGCUACAUUCGUACGGAAUUUCAUGUUGUGAUAUAAGGUUUGAAAUAAGUGGUGUGAAUAUUAUUUGGGUUAUUUAGUAGCUUAAAAUUGAUAAUUAGGUAAUUUAAGUGUCAAAAUUGAUGACGAAUUUGAAAUAGUAAAACGUGCUUUAUUUCUGAAUAAAAUUUCAUAAUGUGUUAUAAAAGUUUGAAAUAAGUGACGUGAUAAGUGUGGCUUUAUUUAUUAUUAUUAUUCUAUAGAUCAAGCUAAGGAUGCAAUAGUGCGUGAGAGGAAAGCAACACUUAAUAAAGUGUGAAUAAAAGAUAGCGUUUGUUAAAUUAAAUACAAAAUUGAAACAGCGAAAUAUGACGCAUCAUGUGGAUAAAAUUUCAUAAUAUGAUGUAAAAGUUUGAAAUAAGUGACGUGAUAGGUGCAGCAUUAUUUAGUAUUAUUGCGUGAGAGGAAAUCGAUACUUAAUAAAGUGUGAAUAAAAGAAAACAUAUGUUAAAUCGAAUACAAAAUUGAAACAGCGAAACAUUACGCUAUAUGUAAAUGAAGUAAAAUUUUGCAAUAAGUGAAGUGAUUAAUAGGUAUACCUUUAUUAAAUAUUUUUAUUCAGCGGCAGAAAGUUAUAAUAGUGCGUGAGAAGAAAUCAAGGCAGUUUAUUGACAUGAAAAAAAAAAAUAAAGUAAUUAAAUAGUGAUGAAUAGUGCUAUAUCUGAAUAACAUGUUUAUAUGAUAUACAAAUUUGAUUUAAGAGACGUGAUACGUGCGGCAUUAUUUUAUUUAUUAUUCUAUAGAUCAAGCUAAGGAUGCAAUAGUGCGUGAGAGAAAAUCGAUACUUAUAAAGUGUGAAUAAAAGAUAGCGUUUGUUAAAUUGAAUACAAAAUUGAAACACCGAAAUAUGACGCAUCAUGUGGAUAGAAAUUUCAUAAUAUGAUGUAAAAGUUUGAAAUAAGAGAUAUGAUUAAUAGGUACAGCUUUAUUUAAUAUUAUUAUUCAGCGGCACAAAGUAUAAUAGUGCGUGAGAGGAAAUAACAGUUUAUUGACGUGACAAAAUUUAUAAAUUAAUUAAAACAGUGAUGCAUUGCUCAAUAUCUGAAUAAAAUUUCAUAAUACGUUAUAAGUAAAGUUUGAUAUAAGUGACGUAAUAAAGCAAGCUAAGCUUGCAAUAGUGCGUGAGAGGACAUCAGUAUCUACUUUAUUAAGGGUGAAUAAAAGAAAGCGCUUAAGAAACAUUAAGCUAUAUGUGAAUAAAAUUUCAUAAUAUGAUGAAAAUAAUUGAAAUAUGCGACAUGAUUAAUACGUACAGCUUUAUUUCAGAUAAUUAUUCAGCGGCGCUAUAUUUUAAUAAAAUUUCAUGAUGUGAUAUAAAAGUUUGUAAUAAGUGACGUGAUAGGUGCGGCAUUAUUUAGUAUUAAUAUCGUAUAGAUCAAGUUAGGGAUGCAAUAAUGUGUGAGAGGAAUGUUAUAUUACAUGCUAGUUAAGGAGACCGUACAAUUGGAGUCAUAAUUAAAAAGAGAGAAACAUUACGCCAUAUGUGGAUAAAAUUUCAUAAAUUGAAGUAAAAUUUUGAAAUAUGCGACGUGAUUAAUAGGUGCAGCUUUAUAAAAUAUUAUUAUUCAGUAGUACAAAGGUACAAUAAAGCGUGAGAGGAAAUCAAAGCAGAUUAUUGGCGUGACAAAAUUUAUAAAGAAAUUAAAUUAGUGAUGCAUAUAUAUUUUAAUAAAAUUUUAUAAUAUGAUGUAAAAAUUCAAAUGUGAUGUAAUUAAAUAUUCUUAUUUAAUAGCACGAAAGUUCCAUAGUGCGUGAGAUGUUACUUAAAAUAGUGAACCUUAGUCAUUGCACAUUUAGACCUAAAGUUUCAAAUUAUAUUUAAAAGUUUGAAAUACGUGAAGUGAUUAAGUUAUGGCAUUAUUAAAAUUCGUUUUUUUCGUUCAUGGUGUGUUUGUAAUAAAAUUAAUGUGGUAAAAAUUGAAAGUGAAACGAAAUACAACUUAUAUCAGAAAUUAUAUACGUCCUAGUGUCGGUGGAGGAUUUAUAUAUUUUAAAAUUACUCAGAAUCCAUAACAUAAUGUAUAUUAUGUAUGAUACAUAUUUUCAUUUUAAAAGGGCAUAGAGAAUUUUAUGAGGACCGCCGAUAUAUUGUGUUAUUAUGAAGUACCCACCUUGAAGUUUUUACCAGUGAUUCAUCAUUAUUUUUUAAUGUUCAGCGACAAUUUUAUGUAUAAUAAUGACUAACCAAAUCCUGAUGACAUAUUAACAAAGACCAGUAUUAUUAGAAGAUUAAAUUUAAUAUUGACAACAUAAUAUUAAAAACAAAGUUCCCUUACUACUAAAAAAAUAUUUUCGAAUAAUUUGGAAAUUUAAAUUUUUCAUGGAAUAUACUCGAAGUGACAGCUUAUGAGAGGACAGUUAUGCGGCUAGAUUACAAAAAUAUCCGUUUAUGAGGAUUGAAGCUAGAAAAUAUUCAGAAAAAUCAAAUAGAGUCAGCAACACUGUUAAUUGGCACACAUACAACUACAAACAAAACAAGACGUAUUAAACAAACAUUUUAGCUACUCAGCUAUCUUAUUCUGAAGAAUUACAAAAUAAACAGGGAGAUAUUUUAUCACUAAAGUAAUAAAGUAAUAGCGCGACAUAAGAAAUUUUAUCAGGAUGUAUUAAGAUAUAAAUAUUUACACCAUGAUAACAAUUAUUUUGAGCAAAUAUACAAUUUAUAGACAAGAAAUAUUUUGAUGAGUUAUGUGUAAAUACACAUUUUAUGGAAAUGUUUUGAUGAGCUAUAUAUUUAUUUAUUUCAUAUUCAUAAUCAUUUACUGGCUGAAUACUGAUACUUAUUACCUUAUUUUAUAAUAAUCUCUCCGUUAAAGAAUCAUUUAGAUUCAUGAAAUUGUGCGGAUUAUUGAUAUUAUUCAAGAUUUCAAAAAACUACAGUCGGAACGACCCGUUAUUUAUUUAACAAGAACUAUUUUUGAAAGAGAAUAUGAAGAAUUCAAUCGCAAAUAUCAUCAUCACAAACACGGACUCACGUGAUUUUAAAACUAACACACUGAAUGUAUAGUUAUUAGGUGAACUAUAUUCUAAAUGCCUUGAAAUUCGAGUUAUUAUAUACACGUUUAUGAUGUAACUAUGACAUAUAGUUUGCUCAACACUGCAUAGAAGUCAUAAUAAAUGAUUUGCCUAUACAUUGUAAUGAUUAUAGAAGUCUUUAGGCACGAAUACAUAACGAGAAGAGAUUUGAUCGGAUAAUUAUCAUUAUAGAGUAAUUUGCCAAUUUAUGGAAAAUAUUUAUUCUUGGCUAAAGGAUUUCAAAACACUACAUUUCGACUACGAAUAUAACUAAAGAGACGUAAUUUGUAUUACGUGAUCUUAGAAUAUACAAAAAGAAAAGUUUGUGCGAAUUUAUGCUGAUAAAUGGAUGAGCGAAGCGUGAUUAAAUUUAACAAAAGCUAAGAUUGCAAACUCUUCGAAGUUUUAUAACUAUAAAAAAAUAUAUUACAUGAAUUACAUAUAUGCUUAUUUACGAGACAGAUUGCAUUUCCUGGCUCAGAGUAAUAUUUAUUUAAUAAUAAAUAAAUUGAAUGCAAUUAAUUUUAUGUUAUUUAUCAACUAAUGCGGUGGCUAUUUUUAUAUAUUGUUUGUUUAUUCCUUAUAGCAAAUUGAUAUCGACAUAUUUAAUUAAUACAAUAACAGGUAAAGUUUUUCAGUAUUAAUUACGCCGCGAAUCUUAAAAUAGAAGUAGGGCGGUAAACAGGAAAAUUUAACUAAUUGUUAUUAAUUACCAUAAAAAUAUUUAUGUUAAGGCAAAAUUUUAUUUAUUUAUUUCAUCGUUAUUUCUGUUAAUUAAACUUAUAUUCUUAUAUACGUUUAUAAUUAAGAUUCAUGAAAUACGUAUCAAAAAAUAAUUGAAUUUUAAAAAACAUUUACGUGAUCCAUUAGAACAUUGAGGUAAUGUGACAUCAAACAAUAUUAUAAUAUAUUUAAGUGGAAUCGUUCUUCAAACUGUUAUACUUAAUCAUUUUUCCAAAUCAUAUUAUUAUUUUUUUAAAAUAACUACAUGUGUAUUAUUGGAAUUGAUAUAAUCACAUAUACAAGUUACAUAAACAGUAAAACCCGCUUAAGACGAUUUUAAAGAGACCCAAUAAAAAACUCGUAUUAUGUGGGAUAUGCGAAAGAAACGUAUUAUGUACUAAUUUUCGUGUAGGUAUUGACUAAGAUAUUUAUAAUGUAAUAAAGCAAUAAUUAUUUAUUUUAUGUAUUUCUAGAUAAAGCCACAUGAUAAUAAUAUUUAUAAAUAAAUACAUUACAUAUAGGCAAUAAUUUAAUGCUUUUUAACCGGGCAAUGAAACAAAGGUCACUCAUUCAAAUUCGAGGUUGUGAAUAAUAAUAUUAGGAGCGAUCUUACGUUUUUUAAGCUACAUAGAUAUUUCGCCUUACUAUCAAACGUAACUUUUCCGCCCCAUCAGAAUUGACAUAAGUUAGGACAGUCAAUCUCUUUUUACGUGCUUGCCACCAUAGUAAGUUUCUCUCUUUAAGACUUAGGAUAUAUCUGACAAUUUGACAAAUAAAUCGAAUACAUCUUAUUAUCAUUAUAUUAUCGCGUUAAAAAUUUUGCUAGUUCACUAUUUUGAGAUAAUAUGCGUAAAGAUGGCGUAUUAAACGGGAUGAAUCGUAUUAAGCGUGUUAUAAUGUAUGAAAACAUGUCUCAAAUUGCAGAGUAAUGGAAAAUAGCGUAUUAUGCGGGAAAUCGUAUUAAGCGGGUUUAGCUGUAUGCGUGAUAGCGUAGGUAGGUAGGCAAUUGGCUAACGUGGAAAUUCGUUAUUUAGAGUCAAUUUGGCAUACUAUUAUAUUGAGUUCUAAAGGUAUACUAAAUAUAACAUAAUAGAAAAUUAAAAUUAUAACGUGAUAUGAAUAUAUUGAAUAUUUAUGUCGUGUAUAAUACGUGGGUUUUUGAACCGUUUAGAUAUUUUAUCAUAACUGCGUAAUAUAUUUUUUAAAAAAUAAUAUAAUAUAGUAAAACCAAAUUACAGUAAUAUAAUAUGACAAGAUUUUGUUUAUUAAUUACACGUUUUAAUACAAUGUUUGUUGAGUGAAAAUUUCUAAUAGGUGAGCUUGCUGACUUGUUUACGUUUCCAAGAGCAUUAUUCUUAUCGAUUAUUUUAUGAAUAAAAUAUAUUAUAUCUAUACUUACAUAUUUAUACAAGUUAGCAGGGAUCGGAAAUUAAAUACUAUUUUCUACUUCUCUAAAACGUUUUGAUAUCAUAUUUCGUAUUUUUGAUACAUUAAUAUUAUGAUACCCAUACUUCAGUCGAAUUCCUGAUUUUUUUCUGAAAUAAUUUUGCGGACUUACACAUAAAUCAUUUAUAGCAAAAUAGGAGGAAAAAAUACAUGAUUAAGACUGUUUUUUUUUAAACAACCUAGCAAAUGAAAAGACACAAUGAAUAUUUUUACAGAGAUCAUUAUAAAGCGUUACAAUCUUCAUAAAACGUAAAGUUUUAAUAACUUUUAUAUUCUACGAUAAAACAAUUAUCGAAAUAUUACGUAUUUAUGUACACACUAGUAAUUAUUACUAUUUAAAUAGAAGAACAAAAAAUACUUUAUAAGGAAAUAUUAAGCGUCUUACAAAAGAAAGAACAUAGAGGUAUCUAUUUAUUAAAACUAAGAAAAACACAAGAAAUAACGAACAUGCCAUUAGAAACCAUGUAUAAACAUGGCGUAGAAAAUAUAAAAUAUGAAAGUAUUAUAACUUAUGAGACUUAAAACGUGAAAUAUAUGAUGCAAAUUCAUAACGAUUAUAUUAAAUAUUUACCUAUAUAUCCAACACAUAUAUAUAUCUAGGCAUUUAAGCAUAAAAAAUAACAAUUAUACAGAAUUCAAGGUGCGGCGUAAAAUAAAUAUAAGAAACAAAGAAUGCAACGUGAGAUGACUAUCUAGAACAAGUUAAUGAUGUUAAAUGCAGUUUUACGUAACCAAAUGUCAGUUUCACAAAGGAUUACAGAAUAGCGAAAGUAGUCAUAUUUAUUAACCAAGGACUGUAGGUUUUAAAUAUUGGUUGAUGUUUACGAUACUAUGAAACUGUUAUCCUAAGGUUAGAACAAUAUUACUUGGAAACUAGGUUGAAACAUAUAUGAUUAGACAAAUAGCGAAAAUAUACGCAUCAAAAUUGAUAUUUUAGCGUUAUUAUGCAAAGAUGAACAAGCGGAUUCCUAAUAAAGAACAUAAUAAUAUGAUUGUCAAUUUAAAGAUACUUAUGAAUUACCCGUCGGUUUUACUCUGAAAUUAUGUAAUUCUUAAGCAAAUGCUGAUGAAAAAGAGACGUAAACAUGUUGAGAAAGACGAAUGAACAGGACUUUCAACUUUAUACUACUAAAACUUCCAGAUGUUGUAAUAUUGAAAUAUGUGACAUAGAAAUUUAUGCUGUCAGUUUAAACCACGAAAAAAACUCAUCAUGAAAGUAUUAGCUCUAGGCUUUCGUCUAUAUUUCCAAGAUCAAACAUCAGAUAUGUUAUAUUUUAAACAUCAGGGAUAUUUGCAUAUAAGUACAAGACAUCAAUUUAAUCUAAGAAAUUUAUACCUACUUUGAAAGAAAUUUCUUGAGGCUUCGUCGCUAUCUGUCCUCUUACACAUCGGAAUCAGCAAAGGACAAAACAUCGCAAACGUUUGAAUUGAAAUAUUAAUAAUAUAUACUUACUUAUUUAGAGGCAACAAUUUGACCCAGAAUAUUCGAUUAAGAAAUUGUAUUGGUUUUCGUCCAUAUGAGCCUAUUUAAACAUAAAUAUACGUCAGAAUGUAAUAACUUUAGAGAUGACAGAAUGUACCAAUAAUUAGAAACGUACGAUAACAAUACUAGCCAAGGAAAGAUUACUUACUAAUUAAGAAAUGAGUCAUUAGGCUUUCAUCAAUGUGUACCUAGGUAAACAUCACAAUAUAAUUAACAUUACAAACAACAGAAUGUACUAAAUAUCAGAGAUGUGAUAUAUAAGAUUCCGUUUCACUCAAGCAAAAAUAGCUCGUAAAAUAACUGCUAUAUCGAUUACCUUCGUAUGUGCCCAGCUAUAGAUCAGAAAUAAUAGAGUACAUCGGAUGCCUUUAAUAUAUAGGUAUAAAGAUA
RNAcentral lists this long non-coding RNA (15289 nucleotides) under Manduca sexta (tobacco hornworm). Its description in RNAcentral is "uncharacterized LOC119190810". Lineage: Eukaryota; Metazoa; Arthropoda; Insecta; Lepidoptera; Sphingidae. The record is from RNAcentral.